GUACAAACUCAGUGAAUGACAGUGCAGCUAUUUCAGAGCUUAAAAUUUUUUUUUGGUAAACUUUGGCUAAAUUUGGAAAGCAUAUUGAGUUUGAAUGUAAGAAAAAAAAAUGAUAUGAAGAACUACCAAGGAAGAUAUUCCAGUAAUAUAUGCCUGAGACUUGUGGAAACAUUAAGUAGUGAAAAAAAAGACUGUAAGGCUUCUCUUUUGCCUCAUGUUUAGAAAUGCAAUAUCCUAGUAAUUGAAGGUUGUGAUUAACUGAACAUUUGGUGUGUACAGGGAAACUUGAAUUCUAAGUAAUCUAGUUUUUCUACAUUCCACUUUGACUUAGGAAACAAGCCUUAAAAAUGGUCCUCCAGGAGAUUUUACAGCUGUCAGGAUAUUCAGCUUUUCUAUUCAUAUGCUCUCUUGCUUCUCAUACAUCUAAAGCAUACAUCCAGAGUGUACAAAGUAUGAGACCAUAUUAAUUGAACAGACAAUUUAGCACAGUCAUUAAGACAAUGAGCUCUGGCACCAAAAUGCUUAGAUUUUUACUCCUACCUGGCUUUACCUCUUAAUAGCUGUAUGACCUUGAGCAGGUACUUAACCUCUCUUCUAUAAAAAUGGUGAAAAUAAUACUUAAUGGGGUGUUAUGAGAAUGUAGUGAGUUAGUACAUGAGAAGUUCCUGGAAGGCAUCUGGCACAUUUAAUGCAUAUAUAUGCACACACACACACAUAUGUUUUAACUGUCAUUGAUUUGGUCAGCAUUGCCCCCUAGCACAGGCCCAUAUUUAAUCACCAAAGCAAGAUUGUUUCUGAUGAGCACACACCAUGUUUUCUCACAGGAAAUAGUUCCACAUGUGGAAGAGUCUAAACAAUGAGAGUUCAACUCUCAGAAAUCUUGGCUAAUCCUUAAUUUACCAGAAUAUUAUUCAUAGAACAGUAUUUCUCAAGAUUAAUCAAUGAGGUAAUUUGACAGUGAUCAGUUUUCAAAGAUUUAAAGUAACUUUACCACUCCCAUACUGUUUAUAAACAUUAUUUUCUCUUUUACUUGGGAAGCAGUUCAGUAUCUUACAAUGUUUUGGCAUCAUAAGUGCAGUUUAGCAUUUUGCAAUGCAAUAAAUAUAUAAAGUUAUACAAAGUUAGACUGCAUGAGUAUUUAUCCUAAGGAGAAGGUAUGAAUUAAAGGCUUCAGUUUUUUGGUGUCUGAGUAGAAUACAGGAAGUCUUAUGUUGUCCCACGUUGUCUCUUAAGGUUGGGAUAGGAAGUGCUCGCUUUCACACCAAGUGACCCUCGGUCUGACUAGCUGGACUACUUGGUUAGGAUCAAAAAAAGUCCACAUUAUUAAGAGAAAUAACACACUCUUGAAAAAGACUGAGGGAAAAACCAUCCUUCCAGUGUAGGCUACUAACCUACGAAAGAAUAGAGCAGCUCCUUACAGCUAGGAAAUGAGAAAGUCAAGAAGGGAGAAAAAAAUUAAGAAAGGCAGAGGUGAUGAGUGGCAGAGAGAAAAUGAAAGCAAAAGACAAAACGAGAAGAGAACUAACAAAAACAUUUGUAUUGCUCUGUCAUGUCUUGCACGUUGUCCUUGUUCAUCUUCAGACCUGUCAGAUUGGCAAUCUGGGUCUUAACAGCCAAGUUACCUAAAGAAAGAAUUGGAUUUUAUUAAUUUGGCAAGUAAUGAACACAAAUAUUCUGUGCCAAGUAUCGGAGAUACAAUUAAACAACUGUCCCUGACCUCAUAGAGUUUCCAUUUUACUUCAAAGAAGUUCAGGGAUUUGUAAAUGACUGGUAAAUAAAAAAACAAGACCUAGACCUUGGUUCUAAACCCCUGUUCUUUUCCCUCUGUGCUAUUCAGACAGGUUGCAGCCAUAUUUCAAAUAGUUCUGCAAGAGAAUUGAAUCCCAAUAAUCUGUGUUUGAGGAUUCAGAAUAAAUUAUUGCUUCCCUUUAAAGUUUUUUUUUUAUCUAAUUAAACACUAUUAAACAUUGUAUUUUCUCAUGUUAGAA
Herpailurus yagouaroundi (jaguarundi) is the source of this 1988-nucleotide long non-coding RNA. RefSeq lists it as uncharacterized. The transcript is spliced from 2 exons. Lineage: Eukaryota; Metazoa; Chordata; Mammalia; Carnivora; Felidae. The record is from RefSeq and is a predicted model, not a curated record.